UGGAAAGUCCGACGGUACAGGGUGAUAGUCCCGUACACCAAAAUGCACAGGUUGUGAACUCGAAGAGUAGGGCGGGACACGUGGUAUCCUGUCUGAAUAUGGGGGGACCAUCCUCCAAGGCUAAAUACUCCUGACUGACCGAUAGUGAACCAGUACCGUGAGGGAAAGGCGAAAAGAACCCCGGCGAGGGGAGUGAAAAAGAACCUGAAACCGUGUACGUACAAGCAGUGGGAGCCUCUUUAUGGGGUGACUGCGUACCUUUUGUAUAAUGGGUCAGCGACUUAUAUUCUGUAGCAAGGUUAACCGUAUAGGGGAGCCGAAGGGAAACCGAGUCUUAACUGGGCGUUAAGUUGCAGGGUAUAGACCCGAAACCCGGUGAUCUAGCCAUGGGCAGGUUGAAGGUUGGGUAACACUAACUGGAGGACCGAACCGACUAAUGUUGAAAAAUUAGCGGAUGACUUGUGGCUGGGGGUGAAAGGCCAAUCAAACCGGGAGAUAGCUGGUUCUCCCCGAAAGCUAUUUAGGUAGCGCCUCGUGAAUUCAUCUUCGGGGGUAGAGCACUGUUUCGGCUAGGGGGUCAUCCCGACUUACCAACCCGAUGCAAACUGCGAAUACCGAAGAAUGUUAUCACGGGAGACACACGGCGGGUGCUAACGUCCGUCGUGAAGAGGGAAACAACCCAGACCGCCAGCUAAGGUCCCAAAGUCAUGGUUAAGUGGGAAACGAUGUGGGAAGGCACAGACAGCCAGGAUGUUGGCUUAGAAGCAGCCAUCAUUUAAAGAAAGCGUAAUAGCUCACUGGUCGAGUCGGCCUGCGCGGAAGAUGUAACGGGGCUAAACCAUGCACCGAAGCUGCGGCAGCGACACUAUGUGUUGUUGGGUAGGGGAGCG
RNAcentral lists this ribosomal RNA (890 nucleotides) under Citrobacter freundii. RNAcentral's name for it is "partial 23S ribosomal RNA". It matches the Rfam family "Bacterial large subunit ribosomal RNA", at positions 343 to 1238 of the family's 2925-position model. Lineage: Bacteria; Pseudomonadati; Pseudomonadota; Gammaproteobacteria; Enterobacterales; Enterobacteriaceae. The record is from RNAcentral.